Molecule: ribosomal RNA, 490 nt
Filed under: uncultured bacterium
Lineage: Bacteria
Description: partial 16S ribosomal RNA
Rfam family: Bacterial small subunit ribosomal RNA
Source: RNAcentral
AUUGAACGCUGGCGGCAUGCCUUACACAUGCAAGUCGAACGGCAGCAUGAUCUAGCUUGCUAGAUUGAUGGCGAGUGGCGAACGGGUGAGUAAUACAUCGGAAAGUGCCCUGUAGUGGGGGAUAACUAGUCGAAAGAUUAGCUAAUACCGCAUACGACCUGAGGGUGAAAGUGGGGGACCGCAAGGCCUCAUGCUAUAGGAGCGGCCGAUGUCUGAUUAGCUAGUUGGUGAGGUAAAGGCUCACCAAGGCGACGAUCAGUAGCUGGUCUGAGAGGACAAUCAGCCACACUGGGACUGAGACACGGCCCAGACUCCUAUGGGAGGCAGCAGUGGGGAAUUUUGGACAAUGGGCGAAAGCCUGAUCCAGCAAUGCCGCGUGUGUGAAGAAGGCCUUCGGGUUGUAAAGCACUUUUGUCCGGAAAGAAAUGGCUCUGGUUAAUACCUGGGGUCGAUGACGGUACCGGAAGAAUAAGGACCGGCUAACUACGUG